UAGUUGAAAAGAAAUCGCGCGCUUAUUCAGACGUGUCACGACAUUAGUUUGUACUUGUUCUGAAUAAAGCUUUUUGGUUCGUUCAGAAAAGCGAAAAUGCUUUUUUUUCCUUUGCGGACACGCGAAGCAUUUUAAUUGCUCAUUCGGGAUCCUAUAGAACGCGCUCAACACGUGGUCCUUGUAGUGCGCGGUCUAGUCCUUUUGACAAUAUCUAUUGAAAUGAUCUAUAACAAAUAUGUAUGCAUAAACACGAAGUAUUCAUCACGAAGUGUUAUGUUGCGUACGAUCCUUGAAGUUAAGCAACGUUGACGGUGGCUGAUAGUUGGAUGGGUGAUCACUUUUCGGGCGCAGAAAUUAAACAUGUUCUAACAGAUACGACUGUAGCUUGAAACAUGUAGUCUUCUCUCCCUUACAAAAUUAUCGUAGAAAUUAAAUGAUGCUAGAUUGGUAUCCUCAUUGGAUUCUUCUACAUUUACAGUCAGAAGUGAAUAAAAUUUUGGAGGAAGUAAAAGCUCAAAAAGUUAUUGAGGAGUCAAAUAGUCUAUGGAUUUUCCUGACUGUUUUAAUUAAAAGAAGGACGGAACAAUAAGAUUUUGUGCGGAUUAUCGGAUAUUGUUACAAUAAAAGAUCCUUAUCCACUUCCGAGGAUUAACAAUAUUUUGAAUUGUUUACCGGAGAAUUCAUGGUUUUACACUCUCGAUUUGAAAAGUGGAUAUUGGCAGGUAAGCUUAGAUUCUAAAAGUUGAGAAAAAACUGCAUUUUUUAUUGGAAACAAUUUGUGGCAAUUAACAGUUAUGCCUUUCGUUCUUUGCAACGCUCCUGCGACUUUUGAACGUCUAAUUAGCUUUUUACUUUUCUUAUUCGCAUGUUUAUUUUUUGUACAAUAAUACAAAUAUAUUUAAAAAGAAAUAUCGAUGGAA
RNAcentral lists this long non-coding RNA (920 nucleotides) under Monomorium pharaonis (pharaoh ant). RNAcentral describes it as "uncharacterized LOC118645654, transcript variant X1". The record is from RNAcentral. Lineage: Eukaryota; Metazoa; Arthropoda; Insecta; Hymenoptera; Formicidae.